RNAcentral lists this ribosomal RNA (844 nucleotides) under Escherichia coli. RNAcentral describes it as "bacterial SSU rRNA". It matches the Rfam family "Bacterial small subunit ribosomal RNA", at positions 64 to 897 of the family's 1533-position model. The record is from RNAcentral. Lineage: Bacteria; Pseudomonadati; Pseudomonadota; Gammaproteobacteria; Enterobacterales; Enterobacteriaceae.
GAACGGUAACAGGAAACAGCUUGCUGUUUCGCUGACGAGUGGCGGACGGGUGAGUAAUGUCUGGGAAACUGCCUGAUGGAGGGGGAUAACUACUGGAAACGGUAGCUAAUACCGCAUAACGUCGCAAGACCAAAGAGGGGGACCUUCGGGCCUCUUGCCAUCGGAUGUGCCCAGAUGGGAUUAGCUUGUUGGUGGGGUAACGGCUCACCAAGGCGACGAUCCCUAGCUGGUCUGAGAGGAUGACCAGCCACACUGGAACUGAGACACGGUCCAGACUCCUACGGGAGGCAGCAGUGGGGAAUAUUGCACAAUGGGCGCAAGCCUGAUGCAGCCAUGCCGCGUGUAUGAAGAAGGCCUUCGGGUUGUAAAGUACUUUCAGCGGGGAGGAAGGGAGUAAAGUUAAUACCUUUGCUCAUUGACGUUACCCGCAGAAGAAGCACCGGCUAACUCCGUGCCAGCAGCCGCGGUAAUACGGAGGGUGCAAGCGUUAAUCGGAAUUACUGGGCGUAAAGCGCACGCAGGCGGUUUGUUAAGUCAGAUGUGAAAUCCCCGGGCUCAACCUGGGAACUGCAUCUGAUACUGGCAAGCUUGAGUCUCGUAGAGGGGGGUAGAAUUCCAGGUGUAGCGGUGAAAUGCGUAGAGAUCUGGAGGAAUACCGGUGGCGAAGGCGGCCCCCUGGACGAAGACUGACGCUCAGGUGCGAAAGCGUGGGGAGCAAACAGGAUUAGAUACCCUGAUAGUCCACGCCGUAAACGAUGUCGACUUGGAGGUUGUGCCCUUGAGGCGUAGCUUCCGGAGCUAACGCGUUAAGUCGACCGCCUGGGGAGUACGGCCGCAAGGUUAA